Molecule: ribosomal RNA, 253 nt
Filed under: uncultured bacterium
Lineage: Bacteria
Description: partial 16S ribosomal RNA
Rfam family: Bacterial small subunit ribosomal RNA
Source: RNAcentral
UACGUAGGUGACAAGCGUUGUCCGGAUUUACUGGGCGUAAAGAGCGCGCAGGCGGUCGAUCAAGUCGAGUGUGAAAGCCCCCGGCUCAACUGGGGAGGGUCAUUCGAUACUGAUCGACUCGAAGGCAGGAGAGGGUAGUGGAAUUCCCGGUGUAGUGGUGAAAUGCGCAGAUAUCAGGAGGAACACCAACGGCGAAGGCAGCACUCUGGGCCGGAACUGACGCUGAGGAGCGAAAGCGUGGGUAGCGAACAGG